Betta splendens (Siamese fighting fish) is the source of this 2080-nucleotide long non-coding RNA. RefSeq lists it as uncharacterized. The transcript is spliced from 2 exons. The record is from RefSeq and is a predicted model, not a curated record. NCBI's taxonomy places the organism in Eukaryota, Metazoa, Chordata, Actinopteri, Anabantiformes, Osphronemidae.
UUACACGCCUCGACUCUGCUGCCGCGGAGAGAGCGGCGCUGGACAAUGGGCCAUUUAUCACAACCGUCCUCUGUCAGCGCCCGAACACACGGCAUGUUCACACAAACACAUACACACACGCACACACACACGCACGCACACGCAUGCACACACACACAUGCGCGCACACGCGCACACACACACACGCGCACACACACACACACACACACACACACACACGCGCACACACACACACACACACACACACACACACGUCUGCAUUAAAAGCUACAGGUUAAAAAGUAAAAUACUAUUUCCUCUUCUGAAGCGUUGGAGUGAUCGACUCUUUGACUCUUUGACUCCAGAGCGAGUGGUUCGACGCACACACGAACCUCGGCACACGCUGCUGACGGCGCAGAGCGUGAGGUUUACGUGUGUCUGUCUGCGGAGGAGCCAGACGGGCAGGAAGGGAGAGCGGAGCCAAAUAUGAAAAAAGGAUGAUCGCAGAGAAAGGAGGAGACGAGGGUGAGACGGGGGAGAGCGGGGGAGAGAGAGGGCACUCGGAGCGGAAAUGCUCCAGUGCCUGUGCGGCCUGCCACCUCGCAUCACACGGCAUCCGCUGACAGAUGAAUGCAGGAGAGCCCAAUAAUAGAAGCCGAGGACCAACGCGGCGGCGGCGGCGGCGGUGGCGGGGGAGGAGCUCCCGGUGCACGGCCAUGCGUGAGGACGGCGCGGGGGGAGACGGGGGUCAGCCGUCGCCACGGCGGCUCCCCCGUCUCAGCGGCUGCAGCCAACGCUGAGUUCCAGGCACAAACCCAGCAUCGCUCCCAUUUAUCUCCGCCAGACCGCUUAACUUUUGGGUUCCGCUAAGACCACUUCAAUACCGUUGCCAUGGAAACCUGUACCUUCGGCUUAGGCUUGUUAUGCAAGGUGGCUAAUUUUACCCAGUUACCCUGUUCCUUGGUUUUGUUUUUCCGCUUUGUUUCUAAAGGUGCUGAGGGUGAGACUGAGAGGAGGCCUGAUGUGAGCGCCGCCGCCGCCGCCGCCGCCGCCGCCGCCGCCGCCUUCAGAGGGAGACGACGUCCACGCGGACAGUCCUCUUCCACCACGACAAGCAUGACGUCUCCACAUCGGCACAGAAACCACCCCGGGUGAUGGACGGUACCGCCGCCGCCUUCACCCGGGCCGGGCCCUGCGUCGUUUUGGAUCCGUUUGCAGCGACGCGGGUGUGGGAGGACGCCAGCGGCUGCUCAGCCAGGUAUGAAAGCAGGCGGCCAGACAGACGGGGGCUCGGGGUCGGAGGCGGAUGUCGAAGCACAACCCGGCUCAGUGUGCGAUGAAUCAGAGGAUCACGACGGCGCGCUGCAUCAUCAGCCUGGAGCACCGGUGCAAAGACUCAUCAAUGUGUGGAGGGGAGGCGGGUUCACACACGGCGCUUCCAGGCUGUUUGUUAGACUGAACAAGCAGUCGGAGGCGUCGCCCUGUUGGUUUUAGGAGAAGGCGACGGGAUUUCUCCCAAUAAUGCACAGAAGUGAUUUGUGAAACCUGCUUUUAAAACCAGAGGUCGACUGUUUUGCUCGGGGUCCGUCUGCGUGAACCAGUCGAGCUGGAGCUUCCACUCACUGACGACAGACGACUUCACAUUUUCCUUCAGGAGUUUUUAAGGCGCGGAGACAAAUUCACGUUUCCCUUAAUUACAGCGAGUCGCCCCCUGAGCGGCAACGCGCCCCCUCCACAUCCUCACACCGUCUCCCAGCGCGCGGCCUGCGGGACUGAGUCACGGGAGUCAACGGCUGCUUUGAUUCAUAAUAGGGUUGUUUGCUGUCUUUUACCCUGGAGCCGUGUGGGACCAGUGAACUCCUCCUCAGUAAAUGAAUGUGCAGCACCAGCAACAACAGGCGACUGGAAUAAAUGACACCAGGUCAAAAAAAAAAAAAAAGAGGUCUUUAUCAAAUUUUCAGAAGUGAAACCACGGCUUGUGAACGCAUCACUGCUGUUUUAGGCAAAGACAGAACCCCGACAACAACAGACGAAAGGCUUUUAAUCCACAAUAUAAAAACUUGCAGGACCCAAGAAAUAAACUUCUACUUUGUUUUCUCUC